GGGCGUAAGCGCAUGCAGGUGGUUUGUUAAGUCAGAUGUGAAAGCCCGGGGCUCAACCUCGGAACCGCAUUUGAAACUGGCAGGCUAGAGUACUGUAGAGGGGGGUAGAAUUUCAGGUGUAGCGGUGAAAUGCGUAGAGAUCUGAAGGAAUACCAGUGGCGAAGGCGGCCCCCUGGACAGAUACUGACACUCAGAUGCGAAAGCGUGGGGAGCAAACAGGAUUAGAUACCCUGGUAGUCCACGCCGUAAACGAUGUCUACUUGGAGGUUGUGGCCUUGAGCCGUGGCUUUCGGAGCUAACGCGUUAAGUAGACCGCCUGGGGAGUACGGUCGCAAGAUUAAAACUCAAAUGAAUUGACGGGGGCCCGCACAAGCGGUGGAGCAUGUGGUUUAAUUCGAUGCAACGCGAAGAACCUUACCUACUCUUGACAUCCAGAGAACUUAGCAGAGAUGCUUUGGUGCCUUCGGGAACUCUGAGACAGGUGCUGCAUGGCUGUCGUCAGCUCGUGUUGUGAAAUGUUGGGUUAAGUCCCGCAACGAGCGCAACCCUUAUCCUUGUUUGCCAGC
Molecule: ribosomal RNA, 566 nt
Filed under: Vibrio sp.
Lineage: Bacteria; Pseudomonadati; Pseudomonadota; Gammaproteobacteria; Vibrionales; Vibrionaceae
Description: bacterial SSU rRNA
Rfam family: Bacterial small subunit ribosomal RNA
Source: RNAcentral